This 252-nucleotide ribosomal RNA is filed under the name uncultured bacterium. RNAcentral's name for it is "partial 16S ribosomal RNA". It matches the Rfam family "Bacterial small subunit ribosomal RNA", at positions 524 to 776 of the family's 1533-position model. The record is from RNAcentral.
UACAGAGGCCUCGAGCGUUAGGCGGAAUCACUGGGCUUAAAGCGUGUGUAGGCGGACUUCUAAGUACCUUGUGAAAUCCCACGGCUCACCCGUGGAACUGCUCGGUAUACUGGUCGUCUUGAGCCUUCUAGGGGCGAGUGGAACAAAUGGUGGAGCGGUGAAAUGCGUAGAUAUCAUUUGGAACGCCAAUGUGAAAACAACUCGCUGGGGAAGUGCUGACGCUGAGACACGAAAGCCAGGGGAGCGAACGGG